RNAcentral lists this ribosomal RNA (324 nucleotides) under uncultured eukaryote. RNAcentral describes it as "partial 18S ribosomal RNA". It matches the Rfam family "Eukaryotic small subunit ribosomal RNA", at positions 1470 to 1796 of the family's 1831-position model. The record is from RNAcentral.
CCCUUAGAUGUUCUGGGCCGCACGCGCGCUACAAUGAUGAAUUCAACGAGUUUAUAACCUUGGUUGAAAAGCCUGGGUAAUCUUUUGAACUUUCGUCGUGAUGGGGCUAGACCCUUGCAAUUAUUGGUCUCCAACGAGGAAUUCCUAGUAAACGCAAGUCAUCAGCUUGCAUUGAUUACGUCCCUGCCCUUUGUACACACCGCCCGUCGCACCUACCGAUUGAAUGGUCCGGUGAAAUCUUCGGACUGCGCGGUCUGCAGUUUCUGCGUUCCGUGCGGAAAGUUGUGCAAACCUUAACAUUUAGAGGAAGGAGAAGUCGUAACA